GGAAGUGUGGCCGAGCGGUUGAAGGCACCGGUCUUGAAAACCGGCGACCCGAAAGGUUCCAGAGUUCGAAUCUCUGCGCUUCCGCCA
This 87-nucleotide transfer RNA is filed under the name Escherichia coli. RNAcentral describes it as "tRNA-Ser". It matches the Rfam family "tRNA". From Rfam's summary of the family: Transfer RNA (tRNA) molecules are approximately 80 nucleotides in length. Their secondary structure includes four short double-helical elements and three loops (D, anti-codon, and T loops). Lineage: Bacteria; Pseudomonadati; Pseudomonadota; Gammaproteobacteria; Enterobacterales; Enterobacteriaceae. The record is from RNAcentral. RNAcentral also lists the same sequence under 5 other names.